CGACGUGCCAGUUCUUCCUGUUUGUGCCAGAGACGUCUCUGGGACAAACCGGAGACGUCUCGGCUGUCCCUGAUCUGUUUUCUUCAACUUAAAAAAUUCUUCAAUAAAUUCAUAAAAAUUAUGGGAACUUGCCUAGACAUUUCUUAACAAUAUUCUUAAUUAAACACCUAAAAUUCUCAAGUAAAUUGUUAAGAUAAAUGGAACUAUACUCUAGUAUUUUGUAUUCAUCAAAAUUCAUUAGG
This 242-nucleotide long non-coding RNA is filed under the name Phoenix dactylifera (date palm). RNAcentral's name for it is "long non-coding RNA (PDAC_LNC015340)". The record is from RNAcentral. Lineage: Eukaryota; Viridiplantae; Streptophyta; Magnoliopsida; Arecales; Arecaceae.